AAAUUCCGCAACAGUUUGUUUCAUCAGUAAAGAAUCAUCAGGCGGUAUAUCAUAUACCGCCUGAUGAUUUUUUACUGAUGAAACAGACUGUUGA
Molecule: non-coding RNA, 94 nt
Organism: Paramuricea clavata
Lineage: Eukaryota; Metazoa; Cnidaria; Anthozoa; Malacalcyonacea; Plexauridae
Source: the annotation of a GenBank genome assembly